UUGUCUCAUCAUCAUUUCAUAAUGAAUGCGACGCAUUCUAUCGUGACGACAAUAAAAUAUACAUUUAUCAUCUGCGCGAUCUCAUCGCCGUUCUCAAAAGCUUGCAUAAAGCAUAUGCCGGCGCCGGCAACGCGAACGUCCGCCGGCCCUGCACACAACACGUUUCACAGGUGACGAUAUGCGCCCCAUAAUAGAUGAAAUAAUAUAUUAUGGGAUGUGCGCCAUGAAUUGUUAAUGAUCCUUCCGCAGGUUCACCUACGGAAA
RNAcentral lists this unclassified non-coding RNA (264 nucleotides) under uncultured fungus. RNAcentral describes it as "sequence contains ITS1". The record is from RNAcentral. Lineage: Eukaryota; Fungi.